GCCCGUGUAGCUCAGCUGGGAGAGCGCCGCCUUCACACGGCGGAGGUUCGGCGGUUCGAGACCGUCCGCGGGCA
RNAcentral lists this transfer RNA (74 nucleotides) under Cryptosporangium aurantiacum. It matches the Rfam family "tRNA". Rfam says of the family: Transfer RNA (tRNA) molecules are approximately 80 nucleotides in length. The record is from Rfam by way of RNAcentral. Lineage: Bacteria; Bacillati; Actinomycetota; Actinomycetes; Cryptosporangiales; Cryptosporangiaceae.